GACGAACGCUGGCGGCGUGCCUAAUACAUGCAAGUAGAACGCUGAAGAGAGGAGCUUGCUCUUCUUGGAUGAGUUGCGAACGGGUGAGUAACGCGUAGGUAACCUGCCUUGUAGCGGGGGAUAACUAUUGGAAACGAUAGCUAAUACCGCAUAACAAUGGAUGACACAUGUCAUUUAUUUGAAAGGGGCAAUUGCUCCACUACAAGAUGGACCUGCGUUGUAUUAGCUAGUAGGUGAGGUAACGGCUCACCUAGGCGACGAUACAUAGCCGACCUGAGAGGGUGAUCGGCCACACUGGGACUGAGACACGGCCCAGACUCCUACGGGAGGCAGCAGUAGGGAAUCUUCGGCAAUGGGGGCAACCCUGACCGAGCAACGCCGCGUGAGUGAAGAAGGUUUUCGGAUCGUAAAGCUCUGUUGUAAGUCAAGAACGAGUGUGAGAGUGGAAAGUUCACACUGUGACGGUAGCUUACCAGAAAGGGACGGCUAACUACGUGCCAGCAGCCGCGGUAAUACGUAGGUCCCGAGCGUUGUCCGGAUUUAUUGGGCGUAAAGCGAGCGCAGGCGGUUUGAUAAGUCUGAAGUUAAAGGCUGUGGCUCAACCAUAGUUCGCUUUGGAAACUGUCAAACUUGAGUGCAGAAGGGGAGAGUGGAAUUCCAUGUGUAGCGGUGAAAUGCGUAGAUAUAUGGAGGAACACCGGUGGCGAAAGCGGCUCUCUGGUCUGUAACUGACGCUGAGGCUCGAAAGCGUGGGGAGCGAACAGGAUUAGAUACCCUGGUAGUCCACGCCGUAAACGAUGAGUGCUAGGUGUUGGAUCCUUUCCGGGAUUCAGUGCCGCAGCUAACGCAUUAAGCACUCCGCCUGGGGAGUACGACCGCAAGGUUGAAACUCAAAGGAAUUGACGGGGGCCCGCACAAGCGGUGGAGCAUGUGGUUUAAUUCGAAGCAACGCGAAGAACCUUACCAGGUCUUGACAUCCCGAUGCUAUUUCUAGAGAUAGAAAGUUACUUCGGUACAUCGGUGACAGGUGGUGCAUGGUUGUCGUCAGCUCGUGUCGUGAGAUGUUGGGUUAAGUCCCGCAACGAGCGCAACCCCUAUUGUUAGUUGCCAUCAUUCAGUUGGGCACUCUAGCGAGACUGCCGGUAAUAAACCGGAGGAAGGUGGGGAUGACGUCAAAUCAUCAUGCCCCUUAUGACCUGGGCUACACACGUGCUACAAUGGUUGGUACAACGAGUUGCGAGUCGGUGACGGCAAGCUAAUCUCUUAAAGCCAAUCUCAGUUCGGAUUGUAGGCUGCAACUCGCCUACAUGAAGUCGGAAUCACUAGUAAUCGCGGAUCAGCACGCCGCGGUGAAUACGUUCCCGGGCCU
Molecule: ribosomal RNA, 1369 nt
Filed under: uncultured bacterium
Lineage: Bacteria
Description: bacterial SSU rRNA
Rfam family: Bacterial small subunit ribosomal RNA
Source: RNAcentral